UGAGUACGAGCUGCUACGGCAGCGAAGUGGGUGAUGUCAAGCUUCCAAGAAAAGCCCUAUACCCGUUAAGGCAUGAUGGCCUGUACCCGAAACCGACACAGGUGGGGUGGUGGAGAAUACCGAGGGGCGCGAGGUAACUCUCUCUAAGGAACUCGGCAAAAUGGCCCCGUAACUUCGGGAGAAGGGGUGCCACCGCAAGGUGGUCGCAGUGAAGAGGCCCAGGCGACUGUUUACCAAAAACACAGGUCUCCGCUAAGUCGCAAGACGAUGUAUGGGGGCUGACGCCUGCCCAGUGCCGGAAGGUUAAGGAAGCUGGUCAGCGCAAGCGAAGCUGGCGACUGAAGCCCCGGUGAACGGCGGCCGUAACUAUAACGGUCCUAAGGUAGCGAAAUUCCUUGUCGGGUAAGUUCCGACCCGCACGAAAGGCGUAACGAUCUGGGCGCUGUCUCGGAGAGAGGCUCGGCGAAAUAGAAUUGUCUGUGGAGAUGCGGACUACGUGCACCCGGACAGAAAGACCCUAUGAAGCUUUACUGUAGCUUGGUAUUGUGCCCGGGCUCUGAAUGCGCAGGAUAGGCGGGAGGCUUUGAUCCAUUGCUUGUGGGUGAUGGUGAGCCACUGGUGAGAUACCACUCUUUCAGAGCUAGGGUUCUAACGGUCACCCGUUAUCCGGGGACCGGACAGUAUCAGGUGGGCAGUCUGACUGGGGCGGUCGCCUCCUAAAAGGUAACGGAGGCGCGCAAAGGUUCCCUCAGGCUGGUUGGAAAUCAGCCGACGAGUGUAAAGGCAGAAGGGAGCUUGACUGUGAGACCUACAAGUCGAACAGGGACGAAAGUCGGCCUUAGUGAUCCGACGGUUCUGAGUGGAAGGGCCGUCGCUCAACGGAUAAAAGUUACUCUAGGAUAACAGGCUGAUCUCCCCCAAGAGUUCACAUCGACGGGGAGGUUUGGCACCUCGAUGUCGGCUCAUCGCAACCUGGGGCUGAAGUCGGUCCCAAGGGUUGGGCUGUUCGCCCAUUAAAGCGGUACGCGAGCUGGGUUCAGAACGUCGUGAGACAGUUCGGUCCAUAUCCGGUGCACGCGCAGGAACAUUGAGAGGAUUUCUCCCUAGUACGAGAGGACCGGGAGGAACGCACCUCUGGUGUACCAGUUAUCGUGCCAACGGUAAACGCUGGGUAGCCAUGUGCGGAGUGGAUAACCGCUGAAAGCAUCUAAGUGGGAAGCCCACCUCAAGAUGAGUGUUCCCAUGGCAUAAGCCAGUAAGGUCACGGGAAGAACACCCGUUGAUAGGCUCUACGUGGAAGCGUGGCAACACGUGAAGCGGAGGAGUACUAAUAGACCGAGGGCUUGACC
RNAcentral lists this ribosomal RNA (1349 nucleotides) under metagenome. RNAcentral describes it as "bacterial LSU rRNA". It matches the Rfam family "Bacterial large subunit ribosomal RNA", at positions 1564 to 2925 of the family's 2925-position model. The record is from RNAcentral.